UACGAAGGGGGCUAGCGUUGUUCGGAAUUACUGGGCGUAAAGGGCGCGUAGGCGGUGUGUCAAGUCAGGCGUGAAAGCCCCGGGCUCAACCUGGGAACCGCGCUUGAGACUGGCACGCUCGAGUUCGGAGAGGAUGGUGGAAUUCCCAGUGUAGAGGUGAAAUUCGUAGAUAUUGGGAAGAACACCGAUGGCGAAGGCAGCCAUCUGGACCGACACUGACGCUGAGGCGCGAAAGCGUGGGGAGCAAACAGG
RNAcentral lists this ribosomal RNA (252 nucleotides) under uncultured bacterium. RNAcentral's name for it is "partial 16S ribosomal RNA". It matches the Rfam family "Bacterial small subunit ribosomal RNA", at positions 524 to 776 of the family's 1533-position model. The record is from RNAcentral.